RNAcentral lists this ribosomal RNA (301 nucleotides) under uncultured bacterium. RNAcentral's name for it is "partial 16S ribosomal RNA". It matches the Rfam family "Bacterial small subunit ribosomal RNA", at positions 509 to 807 of the family's 1533-position model. The record is from RNAcentral.
CAGUAGCCGCGGUAAUACGUAGGGUGCGAGCGUUAAUCGGAAUUACUGGGCGUAAAGCGUGCGCAGGCGGUUAUAUAAGACAGAUGUGAAAUCCCCGGGCUCAACCUGGGACCUGCAUUUGUGACUGUAUAGCUAGAGUACGGUAGAGGGGGAUGGAAUUCCGCGUGUAGCAGUGAAAUGCGUAGAUACGCGGAGGAACACCGAUGGCGAAGGCAAUCCCCUGGACCUGUACUGACGCUCAUGCACGAAAGCGUUGGGAGCAAACAGGAUUAGAUACCCCAGUAGUCCCUGUCUCUUAUAC